CCUACGGGAGGCAGCAGUGGGGAAUAUUGCACAAUGGGCGGAAGCCUGAUGCAGCGACGCCGCGUGAGGGAUGACGGCCUUCGGGUUGUAAACCUCUUUCAGCAGGGACGAAGCGUGAGUGACGGUACCUGCAGAAGAAGCGCCGGCUAACUACGUGCCAGCAGCCGCGGUAAU
RNAcentral lists this ribosomal RNA (174 nucleotides) under uncultured Streptomyces sp. Its description in RNAcentral is "partial 16S ribosomal RNA". It matches the Rfam family "Bacterial small subunit ribosomal RNA", at positions 338 to 524 of the family's 1533-position model. Lineage: Bacteria; Bacillati; Actinomycetota; Actinomycetes; Kitasatosporales; Streptomycetaceae. The record is from RNAcentral.